AAGUAUGUCUAGAGGGGGGUGAUUAGACUACUUGUCAAUAUAAAAAUUCUGCCUUUUGACAAAGAACAGUUUUUGGCAGAUUCACAAUUAUGAUCAAGUCAAGCAUCACCCUACACAUGCAAUUCUAGAGUAUAGGCAGCGAAAAGUAAAUUGCACAUGUAGUAAAGAGAGGUGGAGAAGAGCAAACGCAAUUUUGGAGACGUGGUGAUUUUUCCCGUGGUUCCGAUAGGUGGCGCUAUCGUACAUCCACGUUGAUGGAGACUUCAACCCACGGAGGGUAACGACUGCGCGAGUCCACAAAGGGCUCCACCCACGAAGGGUCCACGAAGAAGCAACCUUGUCUAUUCCAUCAUGGCCUACGCCCACGGAGGGCUAGCCUUACUCGGGGUAGAUCUUCACGAAGUAGGCGAUCUCCUUGUCCUUACAAACUUCUUGGUUCAACUCCACAUCUCGACGACGGAGGCUCCCAAGCGACACCUAACCAAUCUAGGAGGCACCACCCUCCAAAAGGUAAUAGAUGUUGUAGAUGAUGAUGAACUCCUUGCUCUUGUGCUUCAAAUGAUAAUCUCCCCAACACUCAACUCUCCUCACUGAUUUGGCUGUGGUGGAAGAAAGGAUUGAGUGGAAAGCAACUUGGGAAGGCUAGAGAUCAAGCUUCAUAUGGUGGGAGUGGAGCAACUUGAUCUCAACACAAGGGUAGGUAGUUCUCUUCUCAGAAAUGUAAGGUAGGAGUGGUAGUUCUUUAUGAUGGCUCUCUCCACGAAUGAAGAGGGGGUGGAGGGGUAUAAAUAGCCUCCACACAAAAUCCAACCGUUACACACAUUUGAGCAAUCUCGGUGGGACUGAAGUGGACAACUCGGUGAGACCGAUAGUUCAAAUAAUGUGAACAUUGGGAUUUUCGGUGGGACCGAAUAUACAAUCUCGGUUAGUCCGAUUCGUGCAAUGACACUAGCAUGCCAGUUUUGGUGGGACCGACUUCAUCAUCUCGGUGACACCGAUUUGAUGACAGAAGGUUACAGAACCUUGGCAACUCAUGUUUCGGUGAGACCGAGUUCAGAAUCGGAAAAUCCGAGUUUACUAGGGUUUGGCUUAUGGCUAAGGUGGUUCAUCUCGGUGUGACUGAGUUUGGAAUAUCGGUGGGACCGAGACUACUUAUGAGUGUCUAUGGCAGUGAAAGUUGCUGAUAGUUUAGGAGAUGUAUCACUAAGCACUUGAGCAACCAGAUCAUCAUCAUAACCUCAUGCCCUUUUAAUAGUAUUGGCUUUUCCUAUGGACUCAAUGUGAUCUUGGAUCACUAAACCAAAAAUGGAGUCUUGAGCUUUUGCCAAUGCUUGCCUUAGCAUUUUGGGGGGUCCACUUCUUCAGUCCUUGCCAUACCCAUAUCACUGAACUCUCUGAAAUGAUUCUCAAGUAACUAUUAGUUCAAUGAUAUAUAUGUUGUUAUUAGUUACCAAAACCACCCGGGGAUUAGUUGCACUUUCAAUCUCCCCCUUUUUGGUAAUUGAUGACAACAUAUAGAUCAAAGCUUCGACAAAGGAUAUAAUCAAUGAAUAAUAUCGUCGCUUUGAGAAGUAUGUGAUAAGCAAGAGCUCCCCCUAAAUUUGUGCAUUAUUUAAGAUUUGCGUUUGAAUGCAAAUGCACAAUCGAUUAGGAUCAUGGGUCACUCUUCCAUGUCACAUACAUCUUGGUGGAGCAAACAAAAUGAUAAGAAUGAACAGCAUGCACCCAAUCACCAAGACAUGAGUAAAUGGUCAUACGAGAUAGGAAUGUCAUAUGAUAAGCAUUAAGCACACAUUAAAGCAUAGUAAGACCAAGCACUCAUUAAGGUAGAAUCAAACGGAGUAUCAAACACACUGAAUGUCUCGAAAACCAAAAGUAUCUCAAACAAACCGCAAAAGAACGAAAGAGCAAAACCGCAAAGACAACAGCACUCUCUCUCUCUCGAAGCCCUAUGAUCUAUACAAUUUCUCCCCCUUUGGCAACAAGUUACCAAAAAGUUCGAAAAAGCAUAGAGCUAAGCGUCACUGUGGACUCUGCUGGCGGCUCCCGUCUGGGUUGAUGUCGGAGUGGAUAUGACAGCAUCGGCAAAGACUUCAGCUGAUGUCUGUGCUGGAGGAGUGGACACUGGAGCUGGAGCUGGAGUAGGAGCAACUGCUGGAACUGUGGGAGGUGCUGAAGCUGUAGUCCUGGUGUCAGUCACUGGAAUAGCAGCUGAUCGGGAUCCUUUGGGAACUGGAGCAGUCUGUCGAUGAGAAUCCUGGACUAAGUCAUCCUGCAACUCACGCAUAAGCUCUGCCUUGUCCUGCUUUGCUUCCUCAAUGUCUGCCUCGAGCUUGUUGACGGUCACUUGUACUUCAGUCAGCUUCAUGUCCAGAGCGUGGAUCUUCUCGUCAACAAUCCUCUCUAAGCUCUCCUGAGACUGUUCAAUGCUGGCCAGGCGUUGUUCAAUCCUUUGAGUAGCUUCAAGAAUUUGCUCUCCGAAACUCUUUGGUUUAGCUGCUGCUGCUGCUGCUUCCUUGUCAGCUUUGGCUUUCUUAGCAGCUGCGAUCUUGGCUUGACCUUCAACAGAUGUCGGAUCCUCCUCAUCCAUCACAACAACAUUGUCUUCAUGCUCUGGCUGCAACGGUAAAUGUUCUCUAUCCAACAAGAAUGUGCCCGUGCCAAACUUGGCAUUGAUAAGCAUAUGAAUCUGCGGGGCAAAUCCACACGACCUUUUGUGAUCAGCUGCAGUCCUCUUAAUGGUCUCUACCAUCAAGUUCAUCACCUUGAAAGGUGCUCUCUCAUCAAGUAUGUGCAGCAUGUUGAUAGAGUAUCCUCUGAUCAUGCGAUCAUCUCCAGAUUUGGGCAUCAAGGUAUGCCUCAAAAUGGUAUUAGUUGUAGGUAAGCCUACCUGGAGAUGGUAGACUGAGCCGAGCUUCCAGAUUUGCAAAUCCUCUGCUGGAACCUCUUUGUACAUGUUUUUCAUGGAUUCAUGAUUCUUCUUUGGAAUCCCAUAUACAUCAAUAUCAUCUUCUCAUUGCAUUGGAGCAUUCAGAAUUUCUGCCCAUUCUUCAACAGAAGAAGAAAACCUUUGACCUUCAGUCAUCCACAUAAUCUUUCCAUCAGGGUAGAAGUGAGCUGUGGCGUAAAAUUGCAUUAUCAUCUCAUCGUUCCAACUGGUCAAUUUCUGACCUACAAAAUCUGCAACUCCACAUGCAGUGAAACUUUCAUGCACAUGUGGAAAGAAAUCUCUGUGCUCUUCGCUGUCAAUGUACUUCCAGUCAACAUAUCUGGUGUCUGCGACUAUGGGCUUCUUGUCCAUCAGCACGGUCUCAUAGAAGUCCUGCUGCUCUCUGGUGUGAAAUCUGGGAUCUACAGCAGUUCUUCUCCUCACGGCAUAUGGGUCAGUUGGUCUCCAUAGCCUGAGACCUUUAUCUUUCCUUGCCUUCAUAUCCUCAGCUUGAGGAUGAGCAUCAUUAUGGAGUGGCAGUUUUGGACGAAGUUUCAGCAAAACUGGUCCUUCAUCGUCAAACUCAGCUAGUGGCACAUCAUCCUUGUUCUUUUCAGACGCUGGAAUGUUUCUGAUGGUCCUCCUGGGCUUGGCAGCAGGCUUUGCUGGAGCUGCCUUAGCUGGAGCAGAUUUCUUGGGCUUUGAUGUGGCUCCAGCCUUAAUGGCAUCACCCAUGAGCUUCGGCUUCUGAGGAGGAGGCUGGGGUGCUUCCUCAUCCUCAUCCUCUACUGCUGCAUCUGCAUGCACUAUUCUCUUUCUCUUGGUGGUUUUCUUCACUUUGCUUGCAGCUGCCUCUCCCAAAUUCAGCUUCUUAGCAACAGUUGACUGCUUGACUUUGCUGGUGCCCUUCUUAGAUUGUUGAUCUUGUUGCUCUUUGGCAACAACCUUCCUUUUAGGCUUUGAGGUCACCUCUUCCUCAACAACAAAAUAUGAAUCCUCAUCAUCUGAAUUCCUCUUCUUUCUAGCUCUGGUGGCUGCAGGAGGCAUGCCACUUGGUGUACUCCUCUCACCAUCAUCAGAUGAGCUACUAGGAUCAGGACUAGUGCCUGCCUCUAGAAUGUCUGCAAUGGGUGUCUCUGACCUGUUCUCACUGUCACUGGCAUCUGACAUGGCUGACAACCUGUGAAUAGAUAAGGUGUAGGCAGAGAAGAAGAGUCAUCACAAACUGCAGAAGUUUUUGCAAAAAAAAUGAGUUCAAAUUCUAGUAUUAAGUUUUCACAGAAGACAUUUCGGUCAGACCGAGUUUAAGGUUCGGUGAAUCCGAAGUGUUAAAUAGGAGCUUGGCACACCACUUUCGGUUUGACCGAAGUGGGUUUCGGUCCUGCCGAAAACACUAGGGUUUCACAGAAUCUUCAUUUCGGUCACACCGAUUUUGCACAACUCGGUUGGACCGAAGGGUGCAGUGCAAUGGCCAUAGGCCAAAUCGGUCAUACCGAAAAUAUAAAAUAGGUCUCACCGAGAUGUGUUCCGCGGAAACCUAACCCUAAAACUUUUACUCGAAUCUAGUUCAAACGAACCAAUCUGGUGUACAGGAGGAUUUCAAUCGUGGCAAGAUACUAGGCAAUCCAAACGUGCAUUGAAUCGGAGAUGGGAGCACGAGUGGGAUCAAAACUCACCCUAACUUGGUGGAGUUUUUCUACGGCGGCAACGGCUCGGAGGAGAUGGCCGUUGACGGCGACGGAGACCUGCGGCGAGGGCGCACAUGCGACGACGGCGACGAUCCGGAGACCAAGGCGACGGCAGCAAGGCGUGUGGGGGCGAAACGUUUGAAGGAGGAAUCAACGCGCGCGACCCUCGGAAUAUAUACCCCUUCGCUGUCAGUGGGACCGAGUUGUAAAACUCGGUGGCACCGAGAUGGAUAACUGCUAGGCAGUUAUGCACUUCGGUCACGCCGAAAAUCACAACUCAGUUUCACCGAGAUGAAAACCUAGAUCAGUCUAAAUGCUUUCGGUUCGACCGAGUUUGAGUGAGUUGGUCUGACCGAAAUCAAUUAGAAGGUUUUGGAAAUUAGCCCUUGACGGAUCGGUGGCUCCGAGUGCUCCUCACCCGGAGGGUCCGAAAAUGACUUGUUCAAAAUUUAUGAUGUAAGCAUGAAUAGAAUUUGAGACAAGAAAGCAUAGAUAGCUAGGGGAGGUACUUAGGCAUUCUUGUCCAUCCAUUUGGUCAGAAAAAUCAAAACGACCAAAACAACAAAUGGAUGUCCUCGAAUGGAUAAAAUCAUGCAUCCAACAUGCUCACACAAUAAGAUAGCAAAUGAAAUAUGUGUCAAACAUGCACAACCAAAACUCUAGCAACUAACACACAAUUUGUCGAUGACUAGGUCAUCUUUAUAUGAGUAUAUUGACUUAGGAGCCAAAUGAGAACAUUUGAUCAUAGGUCAUACUCAUCGUUUAAGCACAAGUGGGGUUACCACUUUUACAUAAAGCAUUGAUGUGUUCACAUCAUUUGAAGAUGCUUUAGCUCAAUUUUUAGAGCAAAGCUCCCCCUAGAUGUGAGAACCCCUUUUAAAGGGUCAAACUAACCUUGGGUUGUCGUAGAAGACUUCAUGUAGAUGUUGAAGAUGUGGAUGCUCAAUGUUGAUGGAGAUCAUCAAGAGUUGGGAGCUAUCCUUUGGAUUCGGGCACUUUCAAUACCUACAUGGGUUAGUCCCACAAGGAACAAACAAGGAUAUCCAUGGACAUAGAUUGAAGUUCACAAUAGAUGAUGUCCAUGAAAGCAAUGAUUACCUUGUCCCUUGACUUACCAACAAGAGGGUUUGUGACUCCAUGAACUAGUGCACGAUGUGGAAGUUGAUUGCACAAGUUUUUACCAAAAUGAAUGUGAGUGAAGUAUGUUGGCGGAGUCACCCUCAAGAACUUUCUAGUUCUUCUUCUUCGGGAUCCACAUCAUCUUGAUGGGAAUCCUUGGGGUUGUAGUUGAGCUUGACGAAGUAGAACUUGACGUUUCCUUGGGAACCCACUUGACCAUGGCUUGAGGUGCUUCAACAAAUGCAUCAAUCUCCUCUUGAAGCUUGUCCUUGCCUUUUAGCUUGUGGUCUUGUGGUGGAAGGUCAUCUUGAGCUUGUUCCACAUUGGAAGAAGUAGGAUCAUACUUCUCCUUUUGAGGAACAAACUGUGGAGUAGGAUAUUGACCUUCUUCCCACUCAACGCCUUCGGCGUUGAACUUUCGCUCAAAACCAAUUCCUUGAUUCUUCCGGUGCCUUCCUUGCUUGCGAACAAUUUCCUCAAAGUUCUUGCUUCCGGCAAGGCUCUUGUAGACACCUUUCUCUAUGAUCCCUUUCAAUAAACUAUUCUCUUGCUCAAGUGUAACUUGGCUUGAAACAUUGUUAGUGGAAUCAAGAGAACUACUAGAAGCAACAACAUUGGAUUUAGCAUGGUUAUUGUUACUGCUAGAGGAAGAAUUUUUCUUAUGCUUGUCAUGCUUAGUCUUAAUGGGUGGCAAGAAAUUAGACAAGAGAAGUCGUUUGGCAAGAUAUGAAGAACUCUUCUUUCGAAGAUCGUCAUUGAUUGCUUUUAGAAACUCAUGUUCUUGCUCUAGAGUGAGCUUCUCGAAGCGUAGCUUCUCAUGAGAUCUUAGGAGCUCUCUAUGAUCUUCUUGAGUUGUUUCAUGAGCUAACUUAAGAGUGUUUAGUUCUUUAGUUAGACGCUCAAUCUCCUUCAUAGCAUUGUCAUUCGACUCUUCUCGACUAUAAAGACUACUAGCAUGUUCAUCGUUACUAGGCUCACUGGAUUUAUCAUGCAAGAGCUCAUCUUCACCAAGCAAGUCAUCCUCAUCACUAUCGAAGUCAAUGAAUUCAGGGUGUGAUACCUUGGGGCCUUUAGCCAUGAAGCAUCUUCCAAUUCCCUCAUUUGGUGAAUCAAAUAAGUCGUAGGAGUUCGAGUUGGAGGAUACGAGAGCAAGACCGGCAACACCUUCAUCUUGACUGUAGUCGGAGUCGGAGUGAUAGCUUCCUUCGGAUUGAUUGUCGGAGUCGGAGCCGGAGACCCAUUCUCCUACAUGAGCUUGAUGUUUUCUUCUUGUGUAGCUCCUUGAUGACUUGUCUUUCCUCUCCGAAUCCUUGCUUCUCCGAGAGGGUCUUCGUUCAUAACGAUCAUCUCUGCUCCUUCUCUCUUUCCGAGGUGACUCAUCUCUUGAGCUUCUUCUUCUUGGAGAUUCUUCUCUUCUCUUGUGGGGAGCCGUACACUCAUUUGAGUAGUGUCCGGGUCUUCCACAAUUGUAGCAGUUUCGAUCACGACUAGAAGAUCUCUUUUCAUCAUAUGAUCUAGACUUUGAGCUUCUCUCUUUGCCUCUAUUCUUGUAGAAUUUGUUGAAGUUCUUGACCAUUAGGCUUAUCUCUUCAUUGGAAACUAACUUGUCACUUGAGGUUGUGGGAGCAUCACUUGUAGCUUUGUAAGCACCACUUGACUUGUUGUGAAGCUCAUCCUUAUCCUUAAGUGUCAUCUCAUGAGCAACAAUUCUUCCAAUGACUUCAGUUGGCUUGAGAGUCUUGUAGUUUGGCAUCAUUUGGAUCAAAGUGCACACGGUGUCAUACUUUCCAUCCAAAGCUCUGAGAAUCUUCUUGAUGAUGAAUCGGUCGGUCAUUUCUUCGCUUCCUAAGCCGGCAAUCUCAUUUGUGAUGAGAGCAAGCCUAGAGUACAUUUCAGCGACUCCUUCACCAUCCUUCAUCUUGAACUUGUCAAGUUGACCUUGAAGAAUAUCUAGCUUUGAUUCCUUCACGGACUCGGUACCUUCGUGCAUUUCAACCAAAGUAUCCCAAAUCUCUUUUGCAUUCUCAAGACGGCUGAUUUUGUUGAACUCCUCGGGACACAAGGCAUUGAAGAGAAUGUCGCAAGCUUGAGCAUUGUUUUGCAACAUCUGCAAUUCUUCCGGUGUAGCUUCGCGAUCCGGAACUUUUCCUUCCUCGAAGAAUUCACCUUGCAUACCAACACAAAUAAUGCCCCAUGCGGCUGGGUUAUGACCAAGAAUAUGCAUUUUCAUUUUAUGCUUCCAACUAGCAAAACUUGUACCAUCAAAGUAAGGACCUCUACGAAAAUUACCCUCACUAGACGCCAUACUCUCCUAGGUUGUGAAACCAAGCUUAUGGAGUCCAAUGCAAUGGAAACCAAUACAAUGGAGACCAAAGCUCUGAUACCACUUGUAGGAUCGAAAGUAUGUCUAGAGGGGGGGGUGAUUAGACUACUUGUCAAUAUAAAAAUUCUGCCUUUUGACAAAGAACAGUUUUUGGCAGAUUAACAAUUAUAAUCAAGUCAAGCAUCACCCUACACAUGCAAUUCUAGAGUAUAGGCAGCGGAAAGUAAAUUGCACAUGUAGUAAAGAGAGGUGGAGAAGAGCAAACGCAAUUUUGGAGACGCGGUGAUUUUUCCCGUGGUUCCGAUAGGUGGCGCUAUCGUACAUCCACGUUGAUGGAGACUUCAACCCACGGAGGGUAACGGCUGCGCGAGUCCACGGAGGGCUCCACCCACGAAGGGUCCACGAAGAAGCAACCUUGUCUAUUCCAUCAUGGCCUACGCCCACGGAGGGCUAGCCUUACUCGGGGUAGAUCUUCACGAAGUAGGCGAUCUCCUUGCCCUUACAAACUUCUUGGUUCAACUCCACAUCUCGACGACGGAGGCUCCCAAGCGACACCUAACCAAUCUAGGAGGCACCACCCUCCAAAAGGUAAUAGAUGUUGUAGAUGAUGAUGAACUCCUUGCUCUUGUGCUUCAAAUGAUAAUCUCCCCAACACUCAACUCUCCUCACUGAUUUGGCUGUGGUGGAAGAAAGGAUUGAGUGGAAAGCAACUUGGGAAGGCUAGAGAUCAAGAUUCAUAUGGUGGGAGUGGAGCAACUUGAUCUCAACACAAGGGUAGGUAGUUCUCUUCUCAGAAAUGUAAGGUAGGAGUGGUAGUUCUUUCUGAUGGCUCUCUCCACGAAUGAAGAGGGGGUGGAGGGGUAUAAAUAGCCUCCACACAAAAUCCAACCGUUACACACAUUUGAGCAAUCUCGGUGGGACCGAAGUGGACAACUCGGUGAGACCGAUAGUUCAAAUAAUGUGAACGUUGGGAUUUUCGGUGGGACCGAAUAUACAAUCUCGGUUAGUCCGAUUCAUGCAAUGACACUAGCAUGCCAGUUUCAGUGGGACCGACUUCAUCAUCUCGGUGACACCGAUUUGAUGACAGAAGGUUACAGAACCUUGGCAACUCAUGUUUCGGUGAGACCGAGUUCAAAAUCGGAAAAUCCGAGUUUACUAGGGUUUGGCUUAUGGCUGAGGUGGUUCAUCUUGGUGUGACUGAGUUUGGAAUAUCGAUGGGACCGAGACUACUUAUGAGUGUCUAUGGCAGUGAAAGUUGCUGAUAGUUUAGGAGAUGUAUCACUAAGCACUUGAGCAACCAGAUCAUCAUCAUAACCUCAUCCCCUUUUAAUAGUAUUGGCUUUUCCUAUGGACUCAAUGUGAUCUUGGAUCACUAAACCAAAAAUGGAGUCUUGAGCUUUUGCCAAUGCUUGCCUUAGCAUUUU
RNAcentral lists this long non-coding RNA (9483 nucleotides) under Triticum aestivum (bread wheat). Its description in RNAcentral is "long non-coding RNA (TAES_LNC016367)". The record is from RNAcentral. Lineage: Eukaryota; Viridiplantae; Streptophyta; Magnoliopsida; Poales; Poaceae.